Long non-coding RNA from Aphis gossypii (cotton aphid), 486 nucleotides. RefSeq lists it as uncharacterized. The transcript is spliced from 3 exons. Lineage: Eukaryota; Metazoa; Arthropoda; Insecta; Hemiptera; Aphididae. The record is from RefSeq and is a predicted model, not a curated record.
AACUCUAACUGUUUCUUGGCAUUUCACAAGACAUUUUCAAUAAUCAAUGGCUUUCUCCGAUGAGGGAAAAUUCGUUAUCCAAUAGUACUACAGAAUAAUUGUAUUGCAAUAAAUUGUUAAAAUGUCAAUAUUAAUAAAUAAUAAUAAAAAAUAAUGUAAAUUUUAAUACCAAUAUCAUUUUAUUAAACAAUGCUGAGUUGAGAAACUUUAGAAUCCUAUAACAAACUGGUAAAAAUAUUGAAGUAUAUAUAAUUCAAACAUGACUGUAAUAUCCAUUGAACUUGAUUGAAGGAUCUAUUAGUGACGUUUUUUCGAUGUUACGCAUAGCGGUAAAAUCGACAACCAAAAUACAUAUUGCAUGUUUGCGUGUCACUAACUUAUGAGUUAUGAACGAAAGAACUAGUAACAAGCUAACGAUAAGGCACCAUGAUUAUAAAAUACGUUGUAAGUUGUAGACAGCAUCAUUCAGCAUUCUAAACAUAUCUA